This 484-nucleotide ribosomal RNA is filed under the name uncultured bacterium. RNAcentral describes it as "partial 16S ribosomal RNA". It matches the Rfam family "Bacterial small subunit ribosomal RNA", at positions 30 to 507 of the family's 1533-position model. The record is from RNAcentral.
AUUGAACGCUGGCGGAAUGCUUUACUCAUGCAAGUCGAACGGCAGCACGGGGGCAGCCCUGGUGGCGAGUGGCGAACGGGUGAGUAAUACAUCGGAACGUGCCCGGUCGUGGGGGAUAACGUAGCGAAAGUUACGCUAAUACCGCAUACGAUCUGAGGAUGAAAGCGGGGGACCUUCGGGCCUCGCGCGAUCGGAGCGGCCGAUGUCAGAUUAGGUAGUUGGUGGGGUAAAGGCCUACCAAGCCGACGAUCUGUAGCUGGUCUGAGAGGACGACCAGCCACACUGGGACUGAGACACGGCCCAGACUCCUACGGGAGGCAGCAGUGGGGAAUUUUGGACAAUGGGCGCAAGCCUGAUCCAGCCAUUCCGCGUGCAGGACGAAGGCCUUCGGGUUGUAAACUGCUUUUGUACGGAACGAAAAGGCUCUGGCUAAUACCUGGGGCUCAUGACGGUACCGUAAGAAUAAGCACCGGCUAACUACGUG